This 365-nucleotide ribosomal RNA is filed under the name uncultured Fusibacter sp. RNAcentral's name for it is "bacterial SSU rRNA". It matches the Rfam family "Bacterial small subunit ribosomal RNA", at positions 1018 to 1382 of the family's 1533-position model. The record is from RNAcentral. Lineage: Bacteria; Bacillati; Bacillota; Clostridia; Eubacteriales; Fusibacteraceae.
CGGGAAGCGAGCGUACACAGGUGCUGCAUGGCUGUCGUCAGCUCGUGUCGUGAGAUGUUGGGUUAAGUCCCGCAACGAGCGCAACCCUUGUGUUUAGUUGCAAACAGGUCAAGCUGUGCACUCUAGACAGACUGCCGUGGACAACACGGAGGAAGGUGGGGAUGACGUCAAAUCAUCAUGCCCCUUAUGAUCUGGGCUACACACGUGCUACAAUGGCCGGUACAACGGGCAGCGAAGGAGCGAUCCGGAGCGAAUCCUAAAAAGCCGGUCCCAGUUCGGAUUGCAGGCUGAAACUCGCCUACAUGAAGUUGGAGUUGCUAGUAAUCGCGAAUCAGAAUGUCGCGGUGAAUGCGUUCCCGGGUCUU